CGCUCAGUCUCCACACAGCUUCCGUUGGCGUGCUUUGGCUUUGGCUUUGGCUUUAGUUGCUUGGUAGCGCUGCGGGCCGGCGGCUGCCGCAGUAGCAGCAUCAACGACGCCAACGAAAGAGGCGCACAAAGCAAACAAAAAUUACAUAAAACAACAGAAAAAACAGCGGCAAAAAAAAUACAAAAGCAAAACGAAGUUAAACAGUUGUUGUAGAGGGGGAGGGGCAACAGACCCAAAAAAAAAAAA
This is a long non-coding RNA of Drosophila innubila, 246 nucleotides long. RefSeq lists it as uncharacterized. The transcript has 2 exons. Lineage: Eukaryota; Metazoa; Arthropoda; Insecta; Diptera; Drosophilidae. The record is from RefSeq and is a predicted model, not a curated record.